Helianthus annuus (common sunflower) is the source of this 583-nucleotide long non-coding RNA. RefSeq lists it as uncharacterized. Lineage: Eukaryota; Viridiplantae; Streptophyta; Magnoliopsida; Asterales; Asteraceae. The transcript is spliced from 3 exons. The record is from RefSeq and is a predicted model, not a curated record.
AAUAGUAAAUUCCCUCGCCAUCAUCUGAGAGCAUUGAAUCGCAUCCCUUCACCUCCACUUCCAGUUAAAUCUUUCAAUUCAAUGCCCUGAAUCAUAACCCUAACCCUUCGAUUUGCUAGCCGUUCCAACUGAAUAUGAUUUAACCUGUUGUCAAUGAAAGUCAGAUGCAAGCAAGGGUGUUCGAUUAGGGUUUCUUACAGCUCAGGAGAUGAGGGUUAUGGGAGAAACAUGGAGAUAGCACUCAAGCGACGAUACUCAGCCUAGGGCAAUUGAAACCUAUCAGGUCGAUUCGGUUCCUUCAAACAAUUUCAAUUCAUAUUCAAUUUACACUUUGAAUUGAAUCCACACACAUCUACACAUACGAGAGAGAGGGUGAGACGAGAUCCAGGGGAGAUGAUAACACGAUUCAAUGGCGGUUGAAGAAGAUCCAACGGUGGCGAUGGGGGUUUCAAGGAAGGUGAUGACAAUGUCAGUAUUGGAGCUUCGACUAUUUCCGGUGACCGAAGGAUAGUUGACAGCAUCAUUUCCCAAUUGGGUUUUUUAAACAAGAACAAUACCCUUCUUCUCCACGAUUCAGGCAAGG